UAGGGAAUCUUCCACAAUGGGACGCAAGUCUGAUGGAGCAACGCCGCGUGAGUGAAGAAGGGUUUCGGCUCGUAAAGCUCUGUUGUAAGAGAAGAACGUGUGUGAGAGUGGAAAGUUCACACAGUGACGGUAACUUACCAGAAAGUCACGGCUAACUACGUGCCAA
RNAcentral lists this ribosomal RNA (166 nucleotides) under uncultured bacterium. Its description in RNAcentral is "partial 16S rRNA". It matches the Rfam family "Bacterial small subunit ribosomal RNA", at positions 355 to 511 of the family's 1533-position model. The record is from RNAcentral.